GCGCACGGGUGAGUCCACGUGGAGAGAAAACAUUUUGGUUCGGGAUAAUCCUGGGAAACUAGGGCUAAUACUUGAUGGUUCCUACGGGAUAAAGAUUUAUCGCCAAAAGAUGAGUCCGCGUCCGAUUAGCUAGUUGGUGAGGUAAUGGCUCACCAAGGCGACGAUCGGUAGCUGGUCUGAGAGGACGAUCAGCCACACUGGGACUGAGACACGGCCCAGACUCCUACGGGAGGCAGCAGUGGG
Molecule: ribosomal RNA, 243 nt
Filed under: uncultured Pseudomonadota bacterium
Lineage: Bacteria; Pseudomonadati; Pseudomonadota
Description: uncultured proteobacterium partial 16S ribosomal RNA
Rfam family: Bacterial small subunit ribosomal RNA
Source: RNAcentral